This 551-nucleotide small RNA is filed under the name Pan troglodytes (chimpanzee). RNAcentral describes it as "retained intron". Lineage: Eukaryota; Metazoa; Chordata; Mammalia; Primates; Hominidae. The record is from RNAcentral.
AGACGGACGCACGGGCGAGCGCCGAGGGGACAGGCCGAGCGCGGGGCGCCGGAGGCAGCAGGACCCUCCCGAGGGCCUGACCGUGGAGGUAGCACUGCACACCCACUCCCUGUGGGCCGGAGCCAGGAGACACUUCCUGGGUGUCGGAGCCCAGAAGGAAACCAGUGGCCGGGAAGCACCAGCUGGGUGUGGGACAGGCACUGGCCUCAGACCGGGGCCACACUGAGGUCUGCCCUUCUCCCGCUGGCCGCCACCCAGGACACCAUGAGCCAGUCCGGGGCCGUGAGCUGCUGCCCGGGUGCCACCAAUGGCAGCCUGGGCCGGUCCGACGGUGUGGCCAAGAUGAGCCCCAAGGACCUGUUUGGUGAGUGAGGUUUGAGAACAGGCUGGACGUCACAGGGGAAAAAUGGGCACUGCAUCGAGGUGGGGGACAGCCGCUCCUGCCCCACAGCUGUGCCUGGUCUGGCCCAGGGGAUCUCUGGGUGUCCAGGGAGGCCUCUGGACCCUAAUCAACCUUCCGAAAGCUCCUGGCCACUGGAUCCCCUCCCCCA